CCUACGGGAGGCUGCAGUGGGGAAUAUUGCGCAAUGGGCGAAAGCCUGACGCAGCGACGCCGCGUGAGGGAUGAAGGUCUUUGGAUCGUAAACCUCCGUUAGCAGGGAAGAAAGGUCACUGUGCUAAUCAGCAGUGAAUUGACGGUACCUGCAAAGGAAGCAUCGGCUAACUCCGUCCCAGCAGCCGCGGUAAUACGGAGGGUGCGAGCGGUAAUUGGAAUGACUGGGCGUAAAGGGCUCGUAGGCGGUAUGUCAAGUCAAGGGUGAAAUCCCCGCGCUCAACGUGUGAACUGCCGUUGAAACUGGCAGACUGGAGUGUGUGAGAGGAUAGUGGAAUUCCAGGUGUAGGAGUGAAAUCCGUAGAUAUCUGGAGGAACAUCAGUGGCGAAGGCGACUAUCUGGCACAUAACUGACGCUGAGGAGCGAAAGCGUGGGUAGCAAACAGGAUUAGAUACCCCAGUAGUC
This 465-nucleotide ribosomal RNA is filed under the name uncultured bacterium. Its description in RNAcentral is "partial 16S ribosomal RNA". It matches the Rfam family "Bacterial small subunit ribosomal RNA", at positions 338 to 795 of the family's 1533-position model. The record is from RNAcentral.